AUUGAACGCUGGCGGCAGGCCUAACACAUGCAAGUCGAGCGGAUGAAGGGAGCUUGCUCCUGGAUUCAGCGGCGGACGGGUGAGUAAUGCCUAGGAAUCUGCCUGGUAGUGGGGGAUAACGUCCGGAAACGGGCGCUAAUACCGCAUACGUCCUGAUGGAGAAAGUGGGGGAUCUUCGGACCUCACGCUAUCAGAUGAGCCUAGGUCGGAUUAGCUAGUUGGUGGGGUAAAGGCCUACCAAGGCGACGAUCCGUAACUGGUCUGAGAGGAUGAUCAGUCACACUGGAACUGAGACACGGUCCAGACUCCUACGGGAGGCAGCAGUGGGGAAUAUUGGACAAAGGGCGAAGGCCUGAUCCAGCCAUGCCGCGUGUGUGAAGAAGGUCUUCGGAUUGUAAAGCACUUUAAGUUGGGAGGAAGGGCAGUAAGUUAAUACCUUGCUGUUUUGACGUUACCAACAGAAUAAGCACCGGCUAACUUCGUG
Molecule: ribosomal RNA, 484 nt
Filed under: uncultured bacterium
Lineage: Bacteria
Description: partial 16S ribosomal RNA
Rfam family: Bacterial small subunit ribosomal RNA
Source: RNAcentral